Polypterus senegalus (gray bichir) is the source of this 423-nucleotide non-coding RNA. The record is from the annotation of a RefSeq genome assembly. Lineage: Eukaryota; Metazoa; Chordata; Cladistia; Polypteriformes; Polypteridae.
AUGUCCUUCAUUUCAGGGGCUUUUAAUGGUUCUGUUGCUCAUCAGAGAGCACUUCAUUCCAAAAUGCAACUUCUUGUAUUAUGUUUUAAUAUUGCUUUUGUACAUUAUGCUCUUUGCCAAACCUCAGUGAAGGUCAGCCAGUCACCUUCCCAUAUAAUAGUGAAGCAGAAUCAGUCUCUGAAAAUCGACUGCAACCAAAGUGCUGCUUACAGCUACAUGGAGUGGUAUCGGCAGCAGGGCUCAAGUGAACUUCAGCUGGUUUUACGAUCUCUAUAUAUGAGCAACCCAGAAUAUGGCGACAAAAUACCCAAAAGAUUCAAUGCUACAAGAUCAAAACUAGAAAGCAUAACACUCACAAUUGAUAAGGCACAGACUUCUGACACAGGACUGUAUUUCUGUGCAGCUAGUGACACAGUGCACUAA